Molecule: ribosomal RNA, 601 nt
Filed under: uncultured archaeon
Lineage: Archaea
Description: bacterial SSU rRNA
Rfam family: Archaeal small subunit ribosomal RNA
Source: RNAcentral
ACGGCUCAGUAACACGUGGCUAAUCUGCCCUUAGGACGAGGACAACCCCGGGAAACUGGGGCUAACUCUUGAUAGGCGAAGAACUCUGGAAUGAGUCUUUACCUAAAAAGAUUCACGUUAUCCUCGUGAACCUGCCUAAGGAUGAGGCCGCGACCGAUCAGGUUGUUGGUGAGGUAAUGGCUCACCAAGCCUUUUACCGGUGCGGGCCGUGGGAGCGGGAGCCCGGAGAUGGGUACUGAGACAAGGACCUAGGCCCUACGGGGCGCAGCAGUCGCGAAACCUUUGCAAUACACGAAAGUGUGACAGGGCUAUCCCGAGUGCCAUCCGCUGAGGAAGGCUUUUACCCAGUCUAGAACGCUGGGGGAAUAAGGAGAGGGCAAGUCUGGUGUCAGCCGCCGCGGUAAUACCAGCUCUCCGAGUGGUGUGGAUGUUUAUUGGGCCUAAAGCAUCCGUAGCUGGCUAGGUAAGUCCCUUGUUAAAUCCACCGAAUUAAUCGUUGGAUCGCGGGGGAUACUGCUUGGCUAGGGGACGAGAGAGGCAGACGGUAUUCUCGGGGUAGGGGUGAAAUCCUAUAAUCCCGGGAAGACCACCAGUGGCGAAG